RNA transcript from Octodon degus (degu), 953 nucleotides. It is a transcript of the gene named ras-related protein Rap-1b pseudogene, with no coding region annotated. The transcript has a single exon. NCBI's taxonomy places the organism in Eukaryota, Metazoa, Chordata, Mammalia, Rodentia, Octodontidae. The record is from RefSeq and is a predicted model, not a curated record.
AUGGCACCGGGAACAGUGACCCGGACGGAGCGCCGGGUGACACUGGCUGCGGCAACCCGGUGACAGCUUGAGAGGUACCCAAUUUGACAAGUUGGCAUCAUGCGUGAGUAUAAGCUAGUCGUUCUUGGCUCAGGAGGCAUUGGGAAGUCUGCUCUGACUAUACAAUUUGUUCAAGGAAUUUUUGUUGAAAAAUAUGAUCCUACGAUAGAAGAUUCUUACAGAAAGCAAGUUGAAGUAGAUGCACAGCAGUAUAUGCUUGAAAUUUUGGAUACUGCAGGAACAGAACAAUUUACAGCAAUGAGAGAUUUAUACAUGAAAAAUGGACAAGGCUUUGCUUUAGUUUAUUCCAUCACCGCACAGUCCACAUUUAAUGAUUUACAAGAUCUGAGAGAACAGAUUCUUUGAGUUAAAGACACUGAUGAUGUUCCAAUGAUUCUGGUUGGUAAUAAAUGUGACUUGGAAGAUGAAAGAGUUGUAGGAAAGGAACAAGGUCAAAAUCUAGCAAGACAGUGGAACAACUGUGCAUUCUUAGAAUCUUCUACAAAAUCAAAAAUAAAUGUUAACGAGAUCUUUUAUGACCUAGUGCGACAAAUUAACAGAAAAACUCCAGUGCCUGGGAAGGCCCGCAAAAAGUCAUCACGUCAAUUGCUUUAAUAUACUAAAUGCAUUGUAGCUCUGAGCCAGGUCUGAAGAACUGUUGCCCAAUUCAGCAGUGCCAGCAUUCCAACUUUGUUAAACCUACCAACAUCUUAAAUGGACUUUCCUGUGGUGGUACCCUGUAAGAGGCGGAUGAAAGCUACUCUGUCAGUUUGCACAUUCUAAUCAUUUCCCAGUAUCACAAGAGAGAUUUUUACUUAUAUAAUAGUCCUAGAGUACGCAGCUGGUAAAACCAGAGGCUACAUCCAGUAUUACUGCUAAGAGACAUUUCUUCAUCCACCAAUGUUGUACAUGUA